This 382-nucleotide long non-coding RNA is filed under the name Brassica rapa (field mustard). Its description in RNAcentral is "long non-coding RNA (BRAP_LNC007970)". The record is from RNAcentral. Lineage: Eukaryota; Viridiplantae; Streptophyta; Magnoliopsida; Brassicales; Brassicaceae.
AUCCAUGAGAAGAGUCAACUAUCAAAGGCGCAUGAUAGCGGAUUAGGUGGACGAGCCCACAAGUAACACAUGCUCCUCUGUGUCUAUCCUCACUUCCACGCAUAAACACCACUUUUAAAAAAAAAAUCUGCCUUAGAUUUUCUCUCUCUUUAUUUCCAAUAAAAAUAAAAGAAAAAAGCAAAAAAUAUAUAAAUUAAAAAAAAAAAAAAUCAAAGACAGAGAGGAGCAGCAGAGCUGAAUGCGCUCUACUCAUAGCAAAAGAUCCAUACCUCAUAGAUCGUAUCGUCUUCCUUACAGGUAAAUCUCCUUCUCCAUUGGUAUCAGAUUCGCUUCCUAAAGUCUCAAACCUUUCUCCAGUUUUAGGAAAUGGAGAACAAACCGA